This 1405-nucleotide ribosomal RNA is filed under the name Salmonella enterica subsp. enterica serovar Kentucky. RNAcentral's name for it is "bacterial LSU rRNA". It matches the Rfam family "Bacterial large subunit ribosomal RNA", at positions 1556 to 2925 of the family's 2925-position model. The record is from RNAcentral. Lineage: Bacteria; Pseudomonadati; Pseudomonadota; Gammaproteobacteria; Enterobacterales; Enterobacteriaceae.
CUGAGGCGUGAYGACGAGGCACUACGGUGCUGAAGCAACAAAUGCCCUGCUUCCAGGAAAAGCCUCUAAGCAUCAGGUAACAUCAAAUCGUACCCCAAACCGACACAGGUGGUCAGGUAGAGAAUACCAAGGCGCUUGAGAGAACUCGGGUGAAGGAACUAGGCAAAAUGGUGCCGUAACUUCGGGAGAAGGCACGCUGACACGUAGGUGAAGUGAUUUACUCAYGGAGCUGAAGUCAGUCGAAGAUACCAGCUGGCUGCAACUGUUUAUUAAAAACACAGCACUGUGCAAACACGAAAGUGGACGUAUACGGUGUGACGCCUGCCCGGUGCCGGAAGGUUAAUUGAUGGGGUCAGCGCAAGCGAAGCUCCUGAUCGAAGCCCCGGUAAACGGCGGCCGUAACUAUAACGGUCCUAAGGUAGCGAAAUUCCUUGUCGGGUAAGUUCCGACCUGCACGAAUGGCGUAAUGAUGGCCAGGCUGUCUCCACCCGAGACUCAGUGAAAUUGAACUCGCUGUGAAGAUGCAGUGUACCCGCGGCAAGACGGAAAGACCCCGUGAACCUUUACUAUAGCUUGACACUGAACAUUGAGCCUUGAUGUGUAGGAUAGGUGGGAGGCUUUGAAGUGUGGACGCCAGUCUGCAUGGAGCCGACCUUGAAAUACCACCCUUUAAUGUUUGAUGUUCUAACGUGGACCCGUWAYCCGGGUUGCGGACAGUGUCUGGUGGGUAGUUUGACUGGGGCGGUCUCCUCCUAAAGAGUAACGGAGGAGCACGAAGGUUGGCUAAUCCUGGUCGGACAUCAGGAGGUUAGUGCAAUGGCAUAAGCCAGCUUGACUGCGAGCGUGACGGCGCGAGCAGGUGCGAAAGCAGGUCAUAGUGAUCCGGUGGUUCUGAAUGGAAGGGCCAUCGCUCAACGGAUAAAAGGUACUCCGGGGAUAACAGGCUGAUACCGCCCAAGAGUUCAUAUCGACGGCGGUGUUUGGCACCUCGAUGUCGGCUCAUCACAUCCUGGGGCUGAAGUAGGUCCCAAGGGUAUGGCUGUUCGCCAUUUAAAGUGGUACGCGAGCUGGGUUUAGAACGUCGUGAGACAGUUCGGUCCCUAUCUGCCGUGGGCGCUGGAGAACUGAGGGGGGCUGCUCCUAGUACGAGAGGACCGGAGUGGACGCAUCACUGGUGUUCGGGUUGUCAUGCCAAUGGCACUGCCCGGUAGCUAAAUGCGGAAGAGAUAAGUGCUGAAAGCAUCUAAGCACGAAACUUGCCCCGAGAUGAGUUCUCCCUGAGACUUAGAGUCUCCUGAAGGAACGUUGAAGACGACGACGUUGAUAGGCCGGGUGUGUAAGCGCAGCGAUGCGUUGAGCUAACCGGUACUAAUGAACCGUGAGGCUUAACCUUACAACGCCGAAG